UCUCACGUAUCCCUUGGCAUACCUUCAAGUACCUCCAGGGGUACGUGUACCCCCAUCUGGGAACCACUGCCUUACAACAUCACAAAUAAGUUAAAAGCAAGAAAAAACACACAUAUUAAAACAGUAAUAAUAAAUACAUAUGGCAAUUGUUUAUUAAAGGCCUACUGAAAUGAGAUUUUCUUAUUUAAACGGGAAUAGCAGGUACAUUCUAUGUGUUAUACUUGAUCAUUUCGCGAUAUUGCUAUAUUUUUGCUGAAAGGAUUUAGUAAAGAAAAUCGACGAUAAAGUUUGCCACUUUUGGUACUUCCUGAAAAAGCCAUGCCUUUACCAAAGGUCGCAGACGAUGACGUCACAGAUUGUGGGACUCCUCACAUCCACCCAUUGUUUACAAUCAUGGACGCCAGCAGCGCGAGCGAUUCUGACCGAGAAAGCGACAAUUUCCCCAUUAAUUGGAGCGAGGAUGAAAGAUUUGUGGAUGAAGAAAGUGAGAGUGAAGGACUAGAGGCUAGUGGGAGCGAUUCACAUAGGGAAGAUGCUGUGAGAGGCGCCGUGGCAGCCGUGGGGGUUGCAGGAAUACUCGGCCACCUCCAACAAGGGAUAGAGACAUACCGUUUUGAACCCCACGCAGACGGUGACGGUCAGGAGGACGCUGAUGAUAUGGAUGCUGGAGCAGCACACGACAUAGAUCGCCUUCAGAAUACAGAAUGGUCGAGUCGCGGGGGCAGCAGCCUAAGCAGGGAAGCCCAGACUUCCCUCUCCCCAGCCACUUCGUCUAGCUCUUCCCGGGGGGUCCCGAGGCGUUACCAGGCCAGUCUGGAGACAUUAUUCCUAUGGGCCACAGCUCCAUAUACCGGCAAUAUUAAAAAUAUGCAUGUAAAAAAUAAGAUCCACAACAAGACAAUGAUAAUAUUAAUUUUAGCACAUGUAUGCAGAUUGCAGGUGUCAAUAAUAUGAAUUGAUUUUCAAAUAUUAUGAAUAUUUCUAUUUCCAGGUGUACAUGUCACAACUGUGUGAAAAUGGAGACAGUGGUUGAGUGUGCCUGCUGUCAUGAGAUACAGUCAGUGGCCAGUACCAUGGAGCAGGAAGGGGUGGAGACGUGCAUCAUAGACCACCCUGGAUUUAAUCUGUGUGUCUGGAUGAAUGGGUGCUGCAGAUAGCGUAUUACGCCUACCAACAGCAAUAUGGCGUGCCGCAGCAACAGCAAAAUGACAUAUCGACAGUUUGUCCGCUUCUGCUGGGGAUAUCUGGGAAAGGAGAUAAGGGUGGCACUACCAGCUUGUGUAGUACAUAAGAUUAGAACAACAUUUCCAUCGAUGGACUACACGGGGUUCCAAGACGUGCAUUGACUGCAAAAGAAUCCACAUGGCCACUGUAGUUAACGCUUAGCGAAGCGACUCCUGUGCUUGGCGAUGGCUUCCUCCUUGUCUGGCUGCUCCAGUUCAUCGCAGAGGAAGGCAGGCACAUCCACGGUGACGCUGACUGGUGUUCUCUCGUCACGGGUCUAUCAGCAGCCAGAAAAAACCUCCCUGAUCAAGUCGUCUACGUAGUCUGCAAAUUACUAUUAUUCAUUUUCCUGCUCACAAUAUAAUAAACUUAUCACGAUACAAAGUGUCGAGUGUUUACAUGUUUUGUGUCCUCUACGCUUACGGUAUGUUGGCUCUGUCGCGAUUUUCUUCACCACAUGGCCCACUGCUUUAUACUUCGGGUAGUGUACUGCAUGGCGCUCAGCACCCGCUUUUGUAGUGGCUGUAGGGCGGCUUGAGUUUUCAUUCCAGUGCAGCCCAGCAAGCAGGUUCCUA
This is a long non-coding RNA of Nerophis ophidion (straightnose pipefish), 1799 nucleotides long. RefSeq lists it as uncharacterized. The record is from RefSeq and is a predicted model, not a curated record. The transcript is spliced from 3 exons. NCBI's taxonomy places the organism in Eukaryota, Metazoa, Chordata, Actinopteri, Syngnathiformes, Syngnathidae.